RNAcentral lists this long non-coding RNA (483 nucleotides) under Scleropages formosus (Asian bonytongue). RNAcentral describes it as "lncRNA (ENSSFOG00015025285.1)". The record is from RNAcentral. Lineage: Eukaryota; Metazoa; Chordata; Actinopteri; Osteoglossiformes; Osteoglossidae.
UGACCAGGGGCUGAAAGCCUCUCUUCUGUGAGCGACCCCCUGCCCCCAAUCCCGACCUUGAAGGGGCAGAAGGACAUUCUGCUUCUAAGCCCCUGCCCGGUGCAUUCCAAACACCGUUGUCAACAUCCGGACCCUGGAGUUCACCAGCAUCCCCUGUUGAGGAUGGUGCGUCAGCACAGCUCGGGGACAUCAUCUCUGUGAGAGAGCCCCCCCAACACAACCCUGUAGGCCCUGAAUGCCCUGAGAUGGGAGACGGCCUCCACGACCGCAACCAGAGGCUGCUGGCAUUCAAGGAGAUGAUGGGAGGUCAAAGGUCGUGGGACGUGGAGGAGCAGCUGAGACGAUCUCGGGCCGAGCUGCUGUGGAUCCAGAGGCAGCUGUCCAUCAUCUCCAGAAGGAGCUGUGGUCAUCACCGGGCCAGGGAAAAGGUGAGCCUGUUGCUGACCCCCAACUGUGUUCCCGUCUCACCGGUGCAGGAGUCAG